UACGGGGGGGGCAAGCGUUGUUCGGAAUUACUGGGCGUAAAGGGCUCGUAGGCGGCCAACUAAGUCAGACGUGAAAUCCCUCGGCUUAACCGGGGAACUGCGUCUGAUACUGGAUGGCUUGAGGUUGGGAGAGGGAUGCGGAAUUCCAGGUGUAGCGGUGAAAUGCGUAGAUAUCUGGAGGAACACCGGUGGCGAAGGCGGCAUCCUGGACCAAUCCUGACGCUGAGGAGCGAAAGCCAGGGGAGCAAACGGG
RNAcentral lists this ribosomal RNA (253 nucleotides) under uncultured bacterium. RNAcentral's name for it is "partial 16S ribosomal RNA". It matches the Rfam family "Bacterial small subunit ribosomal RNA", at positions 524 to 776 of the family's 1533-position model. The record is from RNAcentral.